UUGAACGCUGGCGGUAUGCUUUACACAUGCAAGUCGAACGGGCUUUGGGGCUUGCUCCAAAGUUAGUGGCGAACGGGUGAGUAACAUAUCGGAACAUAUCCGGAAGUGGGGGAUAACGUAGCGAAAGUUACGCUAAUACCGCAUAUGCCCUGAGGGGGAAAGGGGGGGAUCGCAAGACCUCUCGCUUUCGGAGUGGCCGAUAUCAGAUUAGCUAGUUGGUGAGGUAAAGGCUCACCAAGGCGACGAUCUGUAGCUGGUCUGAGAGGACGACCAGCCACACUGGAACUGAGACACGGUCCAGACUCCUACGGGAGGCAGCAGUGGGGAAUUUUGGACAAUGGGCGAAAGCCUGAUCCAGCCAUACCACGUGAGUGAAGAAGGCCUUCGGGUUGUAAAGCUCUUUCAGCCGGAAAGAAAACGCACGGGUUAAUACCUUGUGUGGAUGACGGUACCGGAAGAAGAAGCACCGGCUAACUACGU
Molecule: ribosomal RNA, 480 nt
Filed under: uncultured bacterium
Lineage: Bacteria
Description: bacterial SSU rRNA
Rfam family: Bacterial small subunit ribosomal RNA
Source: RNAcentral